Molecule: transfer RNA, 73 nt
Filed under: Stegodyphus mimosarum
Lineage: Eukaryota; Metazoa; Arthropoda; Arachnida; Araneae; Eresidae
Rfam family: tRNA
About the family: Transfer RNA (tRNA) molecules are approximately 80 nucleotides in length. Their secondary structure includes four short double-helical elements and three loops (D, anti-codon, and T loops). Further hydrogen bonds mediate the characteristic L-shaped molecular structure. tRNAs have two regions of fundamental functional importance: the anti-codon, which is responsible for specific mRNA codon recognition, and the 3' end, to which the tRNAs corresponding amino acid is attached (by aminoacyl-tRNA synthetases). tRNAs cope with the degeneracy of the genetic code in two manners: having more than one tRNA (with a specific anti-codon) for a particular amino acid; and 'wobble' base-pairing, i.e. permitting non-standard base-pairing at the 3rd anti-codon position.
Source: Rfam by way of RNAcentral
GUCUUUGUGGUGUAGUUGUGAGCACGCUGGGCGCGUAUUCCAGAAGCCCGUGGUUCGAGUCCUGACGAAGGCG